This is a small nuclear RNA of Gorilla gorilla gorilla (western lowland gorilla), 107 nucleotides long. Lineage: Eukaryota; Metazoa; Chordata; Mammalia; Primates; Hominidae. The record is from Ensembl.
GUGCUCACUUUAGCAGCACAUAUACUAAAAUUGGAACAAUACAGAGAAGAUGAGCAUUGUCCCUGUGCAAGGAUGACACACUAAUUUGUGAAAUGUUCUAUAAAACA